Molecule: long non-coding RNA, 668 nt
Organism: Patiria miniata (bat star)
Lineage: Eukaryota; Metazoa; Echinodermata; Asteroidea; Valvatida; Asterinidae
Exons: 2
Source: RefSeq, a predicted model, not a curated record
UGUAGGGGUCCGUGUCUUUUGAGAGACUCCGUAGUCUUCGUGUGAGACCGUGAUUUCAUCAGUUCUAUUUAUAGCGUGUAGCGACAUGUCACCGCUAUUCAUCCACAUGUAGUGCAAAUAGUUCCUUUGAGGAAAAGUAAUUAUUUAAAACAGUUUGGACGCAUCAAUCCUGAAUUCACUUAUUUGUAAACUUCUAUUAAUGUGGGAGAUUGUAUCCUGUAACUGUUAGAGACACUUUUGCUGAGCUAAUAGUAUCAGGAGAGGGGUUGUGAGGCGCAUUAAUCUACAUGUGUUUUGCCAUCUUGGAAAGUGAUGAGCAAUACCGUCCUUUUCGGAUCAGCUGCCAAUGUGUUGGCGAGUUUGAUGCCAUAACACAACCCAGCUUGGCGUUCGGGGAAAUUUGAAGUUGAGGAAAUUUAGCAAUUUAUAAGGGAAAUUUAGGGAAAUUAAGCAACAGUUGAACGUAACGGCAUUUUGUACUGGAAUUUAAGUUAAUUGACAAUUGUAGACCACGCAAAUUCUAUACCCUAGCUCCUGUAACACUGGUUUAUUUCAUAUAACACUACUUGCCAUUGUGGGAACUGAUUGUCAUUUAUUUCAUUCUGCUUUGUUUAUAUAAAAUCAGACAUCAAUUAAAAUAAUUUGAUAUUCCAAUCUGAGAAGUGAAA